GAUGAACGCUGGCGGCGUGCCUAAUACAUGCAAGUCGAGCGAACAGACGAGGAGCUUGCUCCUCUGACGUUAGCGGCGGACGGGUGAGUAACACGUGGAUAACCUACCUAUAAGACUGGGAUAACUUCGGGAAACCCGAGCUAAGACCGGAUAAUAUAUUUAACCGCAUGGUUCAAUAGUUAAAGACGGUUUUGCUGUCACUGCUACAUGGAUCCUCGCCGCAUUAGCUAUUUGGUAAGGUAAAGGCUUAACAAGGCAACGAUGCGUAGCUGACCUGAGAGGGUGAUCGGGCAUACUAGAACUGAGACACGGUCCAGACUUCUACGGGGGGCAGCAGUAGGGAAUCAUGCGGCAUGGGCGAAUGCUUGACGGUGCGACGGCGCGUGAGUGAUGAAGGUCGUCUGGUCGUAAAACUCUGUUAUUAGGGAAGAACAAGUGUGUAAGUAACUAUGCACGUCUUGACGGUACCUAAUCAGAAAGCCACGGCUAACUACGUG
RNAcentral lists this ribosomal RNA (497 nucleotides) under uncultured bacterium. RNAcentral describes it as "partial 16S ribosomal RNA". It matches the Rfam family "Bacterial small subunit ribosomal RNA", at positions 28 to 507 of the family's 1533-position model. The record is from RNAcentral.